This 2387-nucleotide long non-coding RNA is filed under the name Homo sapiens (human). RNAcentral's name for it is "HSALNT0346358". Lineage: Eukaryota; Metazoa; Chordata; Mammalia; Primates; Hominidae. The record is from RNAcentral.
UGAGGAGCUCCAAGCUGCAUGGCCUCCCUCCCUGCCUCCCGCCUCCCCGAAUGCCCUGGUGAAUGGGCCCCGGAGCUUGCCGAGACGUGGCCGGGGUCUCUCUGCAGACAAGCAUAAUGAAAAGCUGGAGGCCUCGCCUGUGGGGUUCUGUCCUCUGGGCCACAUGCAGCUAUGCCAAGCAGGGAUGAUGUGGGAGAGAAGAAAGGGAAGAAAUAGACUAUGCAGCACUUAAACCCCCAGCUCGCUCCUGGCUUGAUGCAGUGGGCUGUUCUCAGUAUAGACAGGGACUCUGGGACACUUGAUGGGCUGCUGCUGCUGUCAAUUCCUGCAGGGAUUUCACGAGCUGGAAGAACACAAGCCUGCAGCAAAGAAUCCCAUGCGAGUGGGAUUCUCAGGCGACUCUGCCUCCCCAGGAUGAUUUGGGAGAACAGGUCCGGGCUGCUUCAAAUGGUGGCCAGUCAGAGACAUGAAGUGGCUCCUCUCUACAGGGACAUCAGAGCUGAGAUCAGGGCAGCCCCAGGAUUCGAGAGAAGGGCAUCCUGGCAGCUCAGGCCCUGUGGCAAUGACCGUCGCGCUUAACCCUCCUAUGCAAUCAACUCAAACCCAGAACUCAAUAGCAACAACACUAUUUGCUUUCUGGACAGCCUCUUAAGAGGCUCUAAAUCAGUAGGUCUCCCACAAUUGAGCUGUGCAGCUUUUGAUAAAGGAAAUGACUUUUCUGAGCAUUGAUUUCUUCAUCAGUAAAGUGAAAAUAGCUUCACCCAUCUCUCCAAUAUUGGGAGAAUAAUGUAAAAUGCUGACCACCACUUCUGGCACAUUUGGUAAGUGCUCUAUCAAUGACAGCUGAUGCUCUUUUUUCCUCCUCCCCUCCAUUUCUUCUCGACUAAAGCUUUUGUCAAAGGUUAAUGUCUCCCCCAGAGGUGUGGGUUGUCACUGAUCUUGCUUCAACACUGGAAAAUCAAGGCCUCAUCACUGCUUACCCAGGGUCAAACAUCCAUGGUCAAGAUCAGGAUCCCAAGAAAUCUCAAAGCUCUACCCUGCACCCAGACCUCUUGGGCUUACAAUGCACCCUUUUCAAUGCCCAUAUUCUCUGCAGCAAAGAAACAAUGUGUGGACUCAGUUGUGCCCCCACGCUCCCUGUCCGCAGCUGCCCUUGCAGUGUCCUGCUGCUGGCUGUGGCCAGCUGACCCGUUGGGCUCUCCUCCUGACCCUCCUUCCAUCUGUUCCAUCCUCACCCACCCAAGGAGCCGCCCCUGCUCCUAGAGACUCUGGGCACCACUGAUAAGGGUGGGUACCAGGAACUCCACCCUUUACCGAGAAAGGCAGGCUGGUUUAUCGCCACUCAGACCCAGCCAGCGACCACCCUGGGGAGUGUGUCAGCCACCAGGAGCAUCGCUGUUGGGGAAAUGUUAUUAACUAGGAAGGAACUUUACAGAAUGUUCCACACAAAUGUCACAUUGAAUUCAAUCAGAAAUCCAGCCUGACCCCCCCUAAACCUGGUCAUUCCUUCUUAACCUUAAUGGCAGUGACAGAAGAAAGGGAGAGAGGAAUGGAGUCUUGGUUGUUUUUCUAUUUAACUUUGUGUAGGGAGUGCCCAGUGGUCAAUUAAGGUGUCCUGGGCACCCGGCCUGGCUGGAGUAAGGGAUGGCAAGUGCGGGGGUCUAUUUAGGGAGGUGAUCAGAGCCCGGAUCAGGCCCCACAGAGUUGGCACCAAUCUCCAUCAUGUUCUUUUUAAGAGGGUUGGCAGCCCUGGAGUCUAUUUUUAAACCCAUGAGAAAGGUGCUGUGUGGAUUCCAAAAAGGGCCAACAUUAAACCCGAGAUCCCUGGAGGAGGGAGGGAAGGGGGGAGGCACAGCUGAACCUAGGAUUUUCUCUUCACACACACAGGGGUUCCCCUUAUUCCUGGGAUCAGAUAUUGACUGUCCUUCCAAAGGGAUCUCUUGGGUUACAGGCCCACUCUUUGGCAUGGCUUUGGUGGAAUUCGACUCCUAACGAGCUCGUGAGUUGGAAAGGGUUUUGCACACCGGGUCUCUUUUUCAGAAUUGAGAUUUUUUUAAAUCCCUCUACCCCCAGUGUGAAAACUCCAUGUGCUUUUGAUAUAUCCGGCAUCUCCCCCUUCUUCCUACUUUCAAAUCACAUGUUCUGGAACCCCCGCUCCCUCCUGCAUGCACUGCAGAGCCCACAGCCGAGAAUCUACAACAGGAAGAUCCAAGGAAAGUCUAAGUUCCCCACGGCCACGGUGCCCAGCUCCCCAGAAACCCAGUCCCGGUGCUGGAGAAGGAUGGGGAGUGGACCCAAGUGGCAAGCCUGCGGGGGACAGGAUUAUUUUCCCAAUAGUGAGAAAUAAACAGGCAUCCAAACGCCACUGUUUCCCAUCAAAUAACCAG